AUUAUUUUAAAAAAAAUUGAAAUUAUAUUUCAUUAAUUCGAAGUUGGUUUGGUAGAACACUCACUCGAGGUGUGUUCUCUCAAAUCUCUCUCAAGCCCUAACUCUACACUCUCAGAUCUCUCUGCAACCCUAACUUUAACUCUCCACUCUCCUUCUCCAUUUUCACUUUCAUAUACAGAACCACUUCCGAAUCUUAGGGUUUCAUCCUCCUCUUCACUUUUCCUUCAUUUUUAACUGAUUAAAACCACUUUUCUACUAAUUAAAACCCUUUUGUUCUUCAAUUUCCACCAAUUAAACCUCCAUUUGUGUCGUUUAAACACUUUUGUACCGAUCAAUUUUGUGUUUGAACCGAUUAAUCGGUUCAUUUUAAGUUUCUCCCCAUUUUUAGGGUUCCUUCGGUCCAGAAUAGGGUACUUCCUCCAUUUUGGAGUUUUCCCUCAAUCAUUCUGGCUUCUAUUCAUUCGUUUAGGGUUUUUUAACAUUUUCUUCCAAUCAUUCUCCGUUUAUUCUCCGUUUCGCUCUCGAUCUUGAGUUCGUCUCAUUAUUUUGCUGCGUUUGCUCAUCAAGGAAGCUUUGAAGGAGUUCGAGUCGAGUUCGCGUCGCUCUUUUGGUCAUCUCCUCGGAGGCUCUUCCGUCAAGUGGCCGCAAAAUCAAUCACACCCGACGGCGUUUCAGCGCUGCUACUCUUUUGAAACCUAAAGAAGAGGCUGGAUUGAAGACUGAAGGUGCUGUUGGGAUUGUUUUUGAACCAAAAGCAAGAAGUGGUGACAAAAUCUGCUGCGGAGAUUCUAAACGAUCAACAUAGAAAACUUCUGAGGAGGCCAUGACACCAAUUGAAUCUACAUUUUCCUUGGAUGUGGCUUCCAAAUUGGACUGGUCAUUUCAUUGGAUUUAACACUAGCUAUUAAACUAUUCAUCAAUACAAGAGUUGAAGAUUCUCGGUUUGGGGUUUAGAGCCACCACUUUGAUGAUAAAUGGCUAGUUGGUGGAGCUUCAAACAUUGGUGGAGCAAUUCCUGGACAGUUUUUCACCGAUAGCCAAUUGUAUAAGUAAUUUAGUUUACUACUAUGUAAAAGACAAUCAGUUAUUAUUUGAUAAUUUGAUACUAUUUUUUGUUAAUUUGGCAGUUGUGUUUGACAUUUAUCAAAUAUAUAAAGCUUCUAAUUAUUGGAUGC
Molecule: long non-coding RNA, 1175 nt
Organism: Vigna angularis (adzuki bean)
Lineage: Eukaryota; Viridiplantae; Streptophyta; Magnoliopsida; Fabales; Fabaceae
Exons: 3
Source: RefSeq, a predicted model, not a curated record